GACGAACGCUGGCGGCGUGCUUAACACAUGCAAGUCGAACGGAAAGGCCAUGCUUUUGUGGGGUGCUCGAGUGGCGAACGGGUGAGUAACACGUGAGUAACCUGCCCUUGACUUUGGGAUAACUUCAGGAAACUGGGGCUAAUACCGGAUAGGAGCUCCUGCUGCAUGGUGGGGGUUGGAAAGUUUCGGCGGUUGGGGAUGGACUCGCGGCUUAUCAGCUUGUUGGUGGGGUAGUGGCUUACCAAGGCUUUGACGGGUAGCCGGCCUGAGAGGGUGACCGGCCACAUUGGGACUGAGAUACGGCGCAGACUCCUACGGGAGGCAGCAGUGGGGAAUAUUGCACAAUGGGCGGAAGCCUGAUGCAGCAACGCCGCGUGCGGGAUGACGGCCUUCGGGUUGUAAACCGAUUUCGCCUGUGACGAAGCGUGAGUGACGGUAAUGGGUAAAGAAGCACCGGCUAACUACGUG
Molecule: ribosomal RNA, 468 nt
Filed under: uncultured bacterium
Lineage: Bacteria
Description: partial 16S ribosomal RNA
Rfam family: Bacterial small subunit ribosomal RNA
Source: RNAcentral